This 442-nucleotide ribosomal RNA is filed under the name uncultured bacterium. Its description in RNAcentral is "bacterial SSU rRNA". It matches the Rfam family "Bacterial small subunit ribosomal RNA", at positions 338 to 795 of the family's 1533-position model. The record is from RNAcentral.
CCUACGGGUGGCACCAGUGGGGAAUAUUGGGCAAUGGGCGCAAGCCUGACCCAGCGACGCCGCGUGAGGGAAGAAGGCCUUUGGGUCGUAAACCUCUGUUGUAUGGGAAGAAGGAAGUGACGGUACCAUACGAGGAAGUCCCGGCUAACUACGUGCCAGCAGCCGCGGUAAUACGUAGGGGACGAGCGUUGUCCGGAAUUACUGGGCGUAAAGGGCGCGCAGGCGGAUAUUUAAGUCAGCUGUAAAAGGCAUGAGCUCAACUCAUGUAUGCGGUUGAAACUGGGUAUCUAGAGUGCUGGAGAGGUAGGCGGAAUUCCCGGUGUAGCGGUGAAAUGCGUAGAUAUCGGGAAGAACACCAGUGGCGAAGGCGGCUUACUGGCCAGCAACUGACGCUGAGGCGCGAAAGCCAGGGGAGCGAACGGGAUUAGAUACCCUCGUAGUC